GACGAACGCUGGCGGCGUGCUUAACACAUGCAAGUCGAACGGAAAGGCCCUGCUUUUGUUGGGUGCUCGAGUGGCGAACGGGUGAGUAACACGUGAGUAACCUGCCCUUGACUUUGGGAUAACUUCAGGAAACUGGGGCUAAUACCGGAUAGGAGCUCCUGCAGCAUGGGGGGGGAUGGAACGUUUAGGCGGUUGGGGAUGGACUCGCGGCUUAUCAGCUUGUUGGUUGGGUAGUGGCUUACCAAGGCUUUGACGGGUAGCCGGCCUGAGCGGGUGACCGGCCACAUUGCGCCUGAGAGACGGCCCAGUCGCCUACGGGAGGCAGCAGUGGGGAAUAUUGCACAAUGGGCGGAAGCCUGAUGCAGCAACGCCGCGUGCGGGAUGACGGCCUUCGGGUUGUAAACCGCUUUCGCCUGUGACGAAGCGUGAAUGACGGUAAUGGGUAAAGAAGCACCGGCUAACUACGUG
Molecule: ribosomal RNA, 468 nt
Filed under: uncultured bacterium
Lineage: Bacteria
Description: partial 16S ribosomal RNA
Rfam family: Bacterial small subunit ribosomal RNA
Source: RNAcentral